GAUCCUCUCUGUUGUGAUUCAUCCCCCCGGGGCCCUACAGUUUCUCCUUCCUGACUCUUACAUUUCUUUGGAUGGCAUCAUUAUUUUAGGUGCCAAGCACUGUGGAUUCUGCCUCUCAGUGUCCAGACACCCAUUUUCCUUCCCACUGUUCCUUCCCCAUGGAGAAGCCUGUGGCUGGCUGACAGCAGAGAGAGAUGCUCAACUUGGAGAAGGUGUUACCUGGGCCAGGUGGGGAAGGUUUGUUUGCAGAGCAAAGAAGUGAAGCCAGCCACCUCAAGAAAGAACAGUUCAUGUGCAGGUGACCAUGUAGUUCAAGUCAUCAUUAAAUCCAAAGCUGAGCAGCCGUGAUGCUAUUGGUGGAAUUGCCCUUGACCAAGAGAAAUCCAUCUUGAUUGUCUCAAUAAUCGGCUCAAGGACCACUGAUGAUGAGGUCCUAAAUUUAAUUCCUAAAAAACCACUAAAGUUAUAGAGGCAAAAUGAGAAAGCAUAGCUCACAAAUACCUUGUGACCAAUGACUUGCCUAUUCAACGUGAAAAAGAUGAGGAUGAAGACCUUUAUUAUGAUCCACUUCCAAGUAAUGAACA
Molecule: long non-coding RNA, 584 nt
Filed under: Homo sapiens (human)
Lineage: Eukaryota; Metazoa; Chordata; Mammalia; Primates; Hominidae
Description: MYO3B antisense RNA 1
Source: RNAcentral